This 449-nucleotide ribosomal RNA is filed under the name uncultured bacterium. RNAcentral's name for it is "bacterial SSU rRNA". It matches the Rfam family "Bacterial small subunit ribosomal RNA", at positions 355 to 825 of the family's 1533-position model. The record is from RNAcentral.
UGGGGAAUCUUGCGCAAUGGGCGAAAGCCUGACGCAGCAACGCCGCGUGCGGGAUGAAGGCCUUCGGGUUGUAAACCGCUUUCAGUGGGGACGAACCAAGACGGUACCCACAGAAGAAGCCCCGGCCAACUACGUGCCAGCAGCCGCGGUAACACGUAGGGGGCAAGCGUUGUCCGGAUUCAUUGGGCGUAAAGAGCUCGUAGGCGGUUCGAUAAGUCGGGUGUGAAACCUCCAGGCUCAACCUGGAGACGCCACCCGAUACUGUCGUGACUAGAGUCCAGUAGGGGAGCGUGGAAUUCCUGGUGUAGCGGUGAAAUGCGCAGAUAUCAGGAGGAACACCAGCGGCGAAGGCGGCGCUCUGGGCUGGAACUGACGCUGAGGAGCGAAAGCGUGGGGAGCGAACAGGAUUAGAUACCCCCGUAGUCCCUGAGCGGGCUGGCAAGGCGCAU